This 426-nucleotide ribosomal RNA is filed under the name uncultured bacterium. RNAcentral's name for it is "bacterial SSU rRNA". It matches the Rfam family "Bacterial small subunit ribosomal RNA", at positions 356 to 774 of the family's 1533-position model. The record is from RNAcentral.
UAAGAAUAUUCCGCAAUGGACGAAAGUCUGACGGAGCGACGCCGCGUGGAUGAAGAAGGCCGAAAGGUUGUAAAGUUCUUUUGUUGGGGAAGAAUAACCAUGGGAGGGAAUGCCCGUGGGAUGACAUGAACCGACGAAUAAGCCCCGGCUAACUACGUGCCAGCAGCCGCGGUAACACGUAGGGGGCGAGCGUUGUUCGGAAUUACUGGGCGUAAAGGGCAUGUAGGCGGUCUUGUAAGCUUGGCGUGAAAGACCACGGCUCAACCGUGGGAUUGCGUUGAGAACUGCGAGGCUUGAGUGACGGAGAGGGAGCUAGAAUUCCUGGUGUAGGGGUGGAAUCUGUAGAGAUCAGGAAGAAUACCAAUGGCGAAGGCAAGCUCCUGGCCGAUGACUGACGCUGAGGUGCGAAAGUGUGGGGAUCAAACA